This 356-nucleotide ribosomal RNA is filed under the name uncultured Bartonella sp. RNAcentral describes it as "bacterial SSU rRNA". It matches the Rfam family "Bacterial small subunit ribosomal RNA", at positions 60 to 441 of the family's 1533-position model. Lineage: Bacteria; Pseudomonadati; Pseudomonadota; Alphaproteobacteria; Hyphomicrobiales; Bartonellaceae. The record is from RNAcentral.
AGUCGAGCGCACUCUUUCGAGAGUGAGCGGCAAACGGGUGAGUAACGCGUGGGAAUCUACCCCUCUCUACGGAAUAACACAGAGAAAUUUGUGCUAAUACCGUAUACGUCCCUUUGGGAGAAAGAUUUAUCGGAGAUGGAUGAGCCCGCGUUGGAUUAGCUAGUUGGUGAGGUAACGGCUCACCAAGGCGACGAUCCAUAGCUGGUCUGAGAGGAUGAUCAGCCACACUGGGACUGAGACACGGCCCAGACUCCUACGGGAGGCAGCAGUGGGGAAUAUUGGACAAUGGGGGCAACCCUGAUCCAGCCAUGCCGCGUGAGUGAUGAAGGCCCUAGGGUUGUAAAGCUCUUUCACCG